CCUACGGGAGGCUGCAGUGAGGAAUAUUGGUCAAUGGCCGUAAGGCUGAACCAGCCAAGUCGCGUGAAGGAAGAAGGAUCUAUGGUUUGUAAACUUCUUUUAUAGGGGAAUAAAGGUAUCCACGUGUGGAUAUUUGCAUGUAACCUAUGAAUAAGCAUCGGCUAACUCCGUGCCAGCAGCCGCGGUAAUACGGAGGAUGCGAGCGUUAUCCGGAUUUAUUGGGUUUAAAGGGUGCGUAGGUUGUUUUUUAAGUCAGCGGUGAAAGUUUGUGGCUCAACCAUAAAAUUGCCGUUGAAACUGGAAGACGUGAGUGUGUUUGAGGUAGGCGGAAUGCGUGGUGUAGCGGUGAAAUGCAUAGAUAUCACGCAGAACUCCGAUUGCGAAGGCAGCUUACUAAGCCAUAACUGACACUGAAGCACGAAAGCGUGGGGAUCAAACAGGAUUAGAUACCCUUGUAGUC
This 460-nucleotide ribosomal RNA is filed under the name uncultured bacterium. RNAcentral's name for it is "partial 16S ribosomal RNA". It matches the Rfam family "Bacterial small subunit ribosomal RNA", at positions 338 to 795 of the family's 1533-position model. The record is from RNAcentral.